GAUGAAGAACGUAGCGAAAUGCGAUACGUAAUGUGAAUUGCAAAUUCAGUGAAUCAUCGAGUCUUUGAACGCACAUUGCGCCCCCUGGUAUUCCGGGGGGCAUGCCUGUCCGAGCGUCAUUGCUGCCCUCAAGCACGGCUUGUGUGUUGGGCCCCGUCCUCCGAUCCCGGGGGACGGGCCCGAAAGGCAGCGGCGGCACCGCGUCCGGUCCUCGAGCGUAUGGGGCUUUGUCACCCGCUCUGUAGGCCCGGCCGGCGCUUGCCGAUCAACCCAAAUUUUUAUCCAGGUUGACCUCGGAUCAGGUAGGGAUACCCGCUGAACUUAAGCAUAUCAAUGCGGAGGA
RNAcentral lists this unclassified non-coding RNA (343 nucleotides) under soil metagenome. RNAcentral describes it as "partial contains 5.8S ribosomal RNA, internal transcribed spacer 2, and large subunit ribosomal RNA". The stretch from base 1 to 119 matches the Rfam family "5.8S ribosomal RNA", at positions 35 to 154 of the family's 154-position model. The record is from RNAcentral.